Molecule: long non-coding RNA, 3538 nt
Filed under: Gossypium barbadense (sea-island cotton)
Lineage: Eukaryota; Viridiplantae; Streptophyta; Magnoliopsida; Malvales; Malvaceae
Description: long non-coding RNA (GBAR_LNC000352)
Source: RNAcentral
GCUGUCGAAAAUUUUUAAAAAUUUAGUAAUACCUCAUACUCUGUUCCGAUAAGGAAUACGGGUAAGGGGUGUUACAGUUAUGGCAUGAAUAUCUGGUUUGUUUCCUAAGGUCUCAACUAGACCAUUCCACUAUCUCAAUCAUUAAUAUACAAUCUCAGUUCACAAUCUAGCCAUUCAUACUAUAUCAAUUCAAUGAAAAUUCAAAUACAUACAUUAACAAUGUAGUCGUAUUAUUUACAUACAACUUACCUCGAUUUACAAAAUAUACUUGACUAGUCUGUUUAGUCGGAUUGCUUGGCUUUGCCCCGGUCUAGGUUCGGUUUUGGCAAAUCUUGAUCUAUAAUAACAAAAUGCACUCAUUUAGUCACUAAUUACAAUUAGGCAAUGUAACACCCCUCGCCCGCAUCCGACGUCGGGACGCGGUUCGAGGUGCUACCUGACUUUUACUAACACUUUCAUACUAAACAAGGCCAUGAAAUCUCAAAUAAUUAAAAACUUUUCUUUUCACAUGUAAUAUGUCCCUUAUGCAAGCUUACGAGGCCCAAUACAUGCAUUCGGGGUGGUUCGGGACUCAACCGAGAACUCAUGAAAAACAUAGGAAAUCUCUUGCAUCAAGGCUCCACACGCUCGUGUAGGUAUAGAGCACACGCCUUGGUGCUAAGGACACGCCCGUGUCCCGAACCCAUGUCCAAAAACCUAGACAAAUACAAGGCUAUUUUCCAAGCCAUUUUGUCACACUCACAACACAUGCACGCAUACUUAUACAAUAGCAUACAACAUAACAAAAUUAGGCACUUAAGCCUUCCUAACAUGACAUGACCAUGGUAAUUUCACAUGCAACCAUUACAAUAAGUUUUUCUUUCAUCUUUACCAUAUUAAUGCUAUAGCUAUCAACAUGUCAUCAAACCUCAUGUCCAUCACAAAGCAUGCAUAAUCAUAUCCACAAACCAUUCAUGAAGCAUUAUUAACUAUUUACCAAUCACUUAAUCCUGCAUUAGUUAUUAGCUCAUCAAUGAAUCUCAAUUCAAUCUCUAGGCAUACAUGUUGUAAGCCACAUCACAAGAGAUAAUAACAUACAUGCAUAAGAAUAAUCAUAUGGGCCCAUAACGAUAUUAGCCGACAUAGGCCAAUUUACAUGACUAAUACUACCUUAAUAAUAAGCCAAUGCCUUUGGCUAAAUCAUAAUAUUACAAUACUACCUUAAUAACAAGCCAAUGCCUUUGGCUAAAUCAUAAUAUUACAUACUCACAUUAAAACCCUAUACAUGCCAUAGACUAGAAUCAUUUGAGUUUACUUACGCCGAUAGCGUUAACUCGACAGUGUGAUAAUAUCUCUGACGGCCUCCAACCCGAGCUAACCUGAAAACUCUAGAAAACAUGGGAAAGAAGGGGGUAAGCUUUCACUUAGUAAGUUCAUAUGAAAACAAUAAGCAACUCAUUAACUUGUUUUAUCAAUGUUUACAACAUAUUCUCAAGUUCACUACAAGCUGUCUUCCUGAGCAGCAGUCACUAAAUUGUUUAUAUCUAGAGCUACGAAACUCCAAAUUAAGUUCCGUUAAUUUUCCCUGAAACUAGACUCAUUUAUCUUUCUUCCAUAAAAUUUCAAGAAUUUUUGACUUAGCCAAUUAUUACAGUUUAUUCCUUAAGUUUGCUCUUGAUUCACUGUCUGACAGUUUCAACCCUUCUUCAUUAAAGUUCAAUUAUCUCAUAGUACAGGACUCGAAUAAUGUUCUUGUCUAUUUAUCUUGAAACUAGACUCAUAUUUAUACUUACUAAUUUUUUUCUAGAAUUUUUGGUCAAGCCAUUUAGUACAGUUUAUUAGUUAAAGUUUCCCCUAUUUCAGGGUAUGACUACUCUGACCCCUAUGUACUACAAACCAAAUUUCUCCCUGUACAUAAUUCCAAUGAUCAUGCUGUUUGUUUCCUUUAAAGAUAGACUCAAUAAGGAAUCCAUGCAUGUAAGGUAUGACUCUUAAUAAUUUUUGUACAAUUUACGGUGAAUUUAUAAAAUCAGAAUAGGGGAUCUCGAAUUGAUUCAGACCCUGUUUCAUGAGAAUUUAAAUAUCACACAAUAUAGAAUUCUUUUUCUUCCUCUAUUUCUUUCAUGUGAAAAUAGACUCAUUAAGCUUUAAUCCCAUAUUUUAUUCUACCUCUAACUCAUUUUCCACUAUUUUUAGUGUAUUUUCAAAGUUACACUACUGCAGUAACUCAAAUCUGUCAAGGCUAAGUUACUCAUUAAGCUUUAAUCCCAUAUUUUAUUCUGCCUCUAACUCAUUUUCCACUAUUUUUAGUGUAUUUUCAAAGUUACACUACUGUAGUAACUCAAAUCUGUCAAGGCUAAGUUACUCAUUCAUGGUCAUUGUUCAUAAUAUUAAUACAACACCAUUUUAUCCAUCAUGGUAAGAACACAUAUUAUGCAUCAUAGAUCAUCACAUAUCAAGGCAUUCUCAUAGGCUUAGUAUACAUACUUGCACAACUCGUAACAUAACUCGAGUGCAUACUCACCAAUGACUUACCUCAUUGGGAUCAUCAUCAACUCUUUCCUUAGAUUGCCCGUUGAACACUUGGAAUACUAAUUGGAUACUCGGAAAAGCCUUUGCACAUAAGUGCCUCAAUUGUAGCUAAAACUAUCUCAUAUCUCAUGACAUUUCAAUGCUCACUAUCGAGCUAGUCAUCUAGACUCAUAAUUUCUAGUGACAUGUCACUCGUAUCCUAAUUUAUCCCUAAGGUUCAAACAGGAUUUUUCCUUGCCUAUUAAGGCUUUUGUCUUAUCAUAUUUCUAUUAAUCACAUACACAUUAAUAUCUGUACAAUUCAUGUAAUGAUAACAUUUAAAUACAUGAAUAGCAUGGUAUUGUUUACAUACGAACUUACCUCGAUACCACAAAGGUGAAAAGACAUACUCGUUCAUAAAUCGAUUUCUUUCCGUUCUAGGUCCAAAUCUCAAUUUUCAUCAUCUAUAACAUCAAUUUAGCCUAACAAUCAGUCACAAUAUUCAUAUGAGUCCAAAAAUCAUAUUUUUACAAAUUUUCAUUUUGACCCCUAAACUUUUGUAUAUUUGCACUUUUGCCCCAAUGCUCGUAAAUUAAUUUUUAUCACAUUUCUUUACUCCUUGAGUCUAGAUGAACCAUUUUCAUAACUAUAGCAACUCAUAAUUUCAACUAUUUUACACAUUUACAACUCAUUUUACAACUUAGCAAUUUAGCCCUUUUUAAGGUAUUUUCAUGCAAUUUCUUUCACAAAAGUUGUUUAUUAGACAACUAGGACUCAUAAUCUUCCAUAAAAACACAGAAAACAACACAUUUACUCUCAUGGUAAAACCCUAGACUCUUCAUCAUUUUGCAAAAUAAUCCCCUCUUAUGAAAGCUCAUGCUUUAGGGGUUCCAAAAAUGUAAAAAUCAUCAAGCAAAGACAUUAAAAUCACUUACUAUAACGGGAGUUUCUUUGCUGAAAGUUUCCAGCUUCUAAACCCUUUCUUUGCUGCCAUUUUUCGGUGGAGAGAAGAUGAAGAAAAGAUGAUAUUUUCUUUUCUUUAUUUUAU